GAUGAACGCUGACAGAAUGCUUAACACAUGCAAGUCAACUUGAAUUUGGGUUUUUUAACUUAGAUUUGGGUGGCGGACGGGUGAGUAACGCGUAAAGAACUUGCCUCACAGCUAGGGACAACAUUUGGAAACGAAUGCUAAUACCUGCUAUUAUGAUUAUAAGGCAUCUUAGACUUAUGAAAGCUAUAUGCGCUGUGAGAGAGCUUUGCGUCCCAUUAGCUAGUUGGAGAGGUAACGGCUCACCAAGGCGAUGAUGGGUAGCCGGCCUGGGAGGGUGAACGGCCACAAGGGGACUGAGACACGGCCCUUACUCCUACGGGAGGCAGCAGUGGGGAAUAUUGGACAGUGGACCAAGAGUCUGAUCCAGCAAUUCUGUGUGCACGAUGACGUUUUUCGGAAUGUAAAGUGCUUUCAGUUGGGAAGAAAAAAAUGACGGUACCAACAGAAGAAGUGACGGCUAAAUACGUG
RNAcentral lists this ribosomal RNA (468 nucleotides) under uncultured bacterium. RNAcentral describes it as "partial 16S ribosomal RNA". It matches the Rfam family "Bacterial small subunit ribosomal RNA", at positions 28 to 507 of the family's 1533-position model. The record is from RNAcentral.